ACAUUAAUCAUGCCCUUAUAGGGUUUCACCACACUAAGUCCCAAUCUCAUGCAUACUAGGUACAAGUAUUAAUCAAGUAACACUACACUCCCACUAGCAUGCCAUGACAUGUAACAAUUGCCAAGUAGUACCCUAUAAUGCAAUAUCCCAAUAUGCAACUUGAUCAAUGUUAACUAGAGUUUCUAGUAUAACAACCAAUCCAUUACUAGUUCAAGUCAUAUGUGUUUUUAGCACAAUGAGUUCAAUGCCACUUGUAAACUAUGUCUUUAAAUACAACACUAGGUUAUCAUUUGCCUAGGUUCCAAUCCGUCACAUAUCAUCUCAUAUAGGGUUAAGGUGCACAUACUAACUUCAUGCAUACUAGAUUCAAGUGUUAUAUCUACCAAGCUACAUUAACACUAGCAUGCAAAUAUAGAUAUAAGUUUCUAAACACCCUAUAUGCAACAUCAUAAUAUGCAACUUGAUCAAUGACAGAUUAAAGUUUCCAAUGCAAUAGCCAAUACAUUACUAAGUUCUCAUCCACACCUAUCAUCUCAUUAUAGGGUUUCACAUCAUAUAUAUAAACCUCAAGCAUGCUAGAUAUAAGCACUAAGACAAAUACAUUACUCUUUCAAGAAGCAUGCAAUAUAUAUAUAGAACCAACCAUCAACUAGCUAUCACCCUAUAAUGCAAGGUAUCGAUAUACAAUAUGCUACAUGUAAUUUGAUAAGUACUAAGACAUAGGAAGAAGCCCGAUUGCUUCGGGAUGACACCCCCCACCUUUUACCGUGUUUCGAUUGCUCGUCGUCACUUGCAAUCGGCCUCCCACGGCGCACGCCGCUCCGCUUAACCCAAUCCGCGCGCGACCACCAAACGACUUCCGAUCCGCGAUCCGGAAAUUAAAGGUCUUCGGUUUCUCGUCACGAUGCUUCAAAUCCGUUUCUAGGAUUUUACGACGUCGUCUCGGCCCUUCAAGCGGAAACGAAGCCUAAACGUCCGUUUCUUUAAUAACUUUGCACCGGCUCGACGAAUCGCCGAACCGUCGCUUCCAACGCCGAACCGUCGCUUCCAACGCGUUCAGUGACCUAUCAAUUAGGUUUAUAGAGGGUUAAAUGAGAUCAAACCCUACUAGUAGCAAAACUUGCAUUUUCGAGCCCUAGGUUACAACUAGGCAAGAAAUCACCAAAUUCCUUCACAAAUUAAACAUCAAUCAUCUAGAUAGCAUGCUAGGAUUUCACUAAAUCUAUUUCUAGAGAUCAAAACCCCAUAUCUAGAGAUCUACCAUUAAAGGGUAGCAAAAGCUUACCUCAAAACUAGCUUGAAUACAUGGAGAAGAUGAAGAAGAUGAUGACGAUUCACCUCCAAGCUUCAAUCUCCACCAAAUUCCCUUAAUUUUGGGAGAGAAUUAGAGAGAGAAAGAGAGGCUUCUCUUCUCCUAUCCAUGCGUGUGUGGGUGUGUGUGUGUGUCUCGGUUGUGGUGUGCACGGUUGAGGGAGGAGAAGAAGAGCAAUGCUCUUUUACACAAGCAGCCCCCUCAACUAUUCCACUUUUCAGUUAGUCCCUCAAAUCUGAUAAGUUUCGUCGGAGCCCUUCUGAACGUCCGUUUGAGCUCAAAUUCGACAGGCAUGCUCAGUUCAACGUACUGAGUGAGAAUAUAUCUUAAGUUUU
RNAcentral lists this long non-coding RNA (1647 nucleotides) under Ananas comosus (pineapple). Its description in RNAcentral is "long non-coding RNA (ACOM_LNC040894)". The record is from RNAcentral. Lineage: Eukaryota; Viridiplantae; Streptophyta; Magnoliopsida; Poales; Bromeliaceae.